RNAcentral lists this long non-coding RNA (595 nucleotides) under Homo sapiens (human). Its description in RNAcentral is "HSALNT0162009". The record is from RNAcentral. Lineage: Eukaryota; Metazoa; Chordata; Mammalia; Primates; Hominidae.
AGGGCCUGUUCCCUGCUGGAGCUCUUCCCUGUAUGCACAUGUUUUUUCUGGGGACCAUUUGCCUAAUUCAUCUCAGAAAUGAGUGCUGGAACCCUCCACUGACUGCCAUUGAGUGAUUUGGGGUACAGCCCUCCAAGCUCUCAUAUAUGGCAGUUGCUGAAGGUGUGUAGAUUCCCUGUUUAACUCAGUUAAAGGGGUGGGGAUGACUGGCCCCAAAGAUGUUCUCCUGGAGGAGAUGGGGAAGGAGGGCCUGGCCUGCCACCCCGUACCAUCCACCAGCAUAAUGCUUUCUUAAUAGAUGGAGGAGGGGCCACAGGGAACUCCAAAGAUCUAUGAGCAAUAACAACACUUACCACAAAUUCCACACUCAUGUGGGUUUAGCCAUCUGGGGCUAUUACCUCUUACUCAACACUGAAGGCCAGAGUGAAAUGUCCCUGGAACCUGAAAACACAUGUUUCUUCUGAGACUCAGAAGAAAUAAAUGGAAGAAAUGUUUUCUCAUUUUUAGCAAUUGUUACAAGAAUUCUUUAUUCAGAAGGGACUUGGCUUUUUUGGGGAAAUGGUUUAAUAAGCCUAUUGAGGGGAUAGAAAUGAGC